Molecule: ribosomal RNA, 17 nt
Filed under: Symmetrospora oryzicola
Lineage: Eukaryota; Fungi; Basidiomycota; Cystobasidiomycetes; Symmetrosporaceae
Description: partial 18S rRNA
Source: RNAcentral
CUGCGGGAGGAUCAUUA